AGAGUUUGAUCCUGGCUCAGAAUCAACGCUGGCGGCGCGCUUAACACAUGCAAGUCGCACGAGAAAGCCCGCAAGGGUGAGUAAAGUGGCGCACGGGUGAGUAACACGUGGGUAAUCCACCUCUUAGUGGGGAAUAACUCUGGGAAACCGGAGCUAAUACCGCAUGAGCCCGCAAGGGGAAAGCAGCAAUGCGCUGAGAGAGGAGCCCGCGGCCGAUUAGCUAGCUGGCAGGGUAAUGGCCUACCAGGGCAAUGAUCGGUAGCCGGCCUGAGAGGGCACACGGCCACACUGGCACUGAAACACGGGCCAGACUCCUACGGGAGGCAGCAGUGGGGAAUCUUGCACAAUGGGGGAAACCCUGAUGCAGCGACGCCGCGUGAGCGAUGAAGCCCUUCGGGGUGUAAAGCUCUUUCGACAGGAACGAUAAUGACGGUACCUGGAGAAGAAGCUGCGGCUAACUACGUGCCAGCAGCCGCGGUAAUACGUAGGCAGCAAGCGUUGUUCGGAGUUACUGGGCGUAAAGAGUGCGUAGGCGGUUCGCCAAGUCUGGUGUGAAAUCUCCCGGCUUAACCGGGAGGGUGCGCCGGAAACUGGCGGGCUUGAGUGUGGGAGAGGAAAGCGGAAUUCCUGGUGUAGCGGUGAAAUGCGUAGAUAUCAGGAGGAACACCGGUGGUGUAGACGGCUUUCUGGACCACUACUGACGCUGAGGCACGAAAGCGUGGGGAGCAAACAGGAUUAGAUACCCUGGUAGUCCUAGCCCUAAACGAUGAUUGCUUGGUGUAGCAGGUACCCAAUCCUGCUGUGCCGGAGCUAACGCGUUAAAUAUGCCGCCUGGGGAGUACAGUCGCAAGGCUGAAA
Molecule: ribosomal RNA, 858 nt
Filed under: uncultured bacterium
Lineage: Bacteria
Description: bacterial SSU rRNA
Rfam family: Bacterial small subunit ribosomal RNA
Source: RNAcentral